AAUUCCACCAACAACCAUAAACCCUUCCUUAUUAACAAAUGAUUUUAUAAUAAUAUAAAAAACAUUAUGCUAGAACUAGUAACAAGAAUUCAUAUUCUCCUAAAUGUAAGUAUAAGCCAAAAUAACGCAAUAUUAACGAAAAUGAACUUGCUACAGUAACUAUCAAGAAAACCCUGCACAAACUUAUCGUAAACCUAACACUAGAACAUUUCAGGAAAGAUUAAAAGAAAAAGAAGGAACUAGGCAAAUCUCAACCCCGCCUGUUUACCAAAAACAUCGCCUCUUGCCCCCCAUAAGAGGUCCAGCCUGCCCAGUGACAAAGUUCAACGGCCGCGGUACCCUGACCGUGCGAAGGUAGCAUAAUCACUUGUUCUUUAAAUAAGGACUAGUAUCAACGGCAUCACGAGGGUUGCACUGUCUCCUUUUUCUAAUCAGUGAAACUGAUCUCCUCGUGAAGAAGCGAGGAUAAAAAUAUAAGACGAGAAGACCCCAUGGAGCUUCAAACCUCAAGCAACUUAUUAAUACACAUCUUAACAGCUAUAAAGCUAUGCCCACCGGUUUUAGGUUGGGGUGACCACGGAGAAAAAAUUAACCUCCAUAACGAAAAGAACUAAAUCUUUAUCUAAGAGCAACUACUCUAAGAAUUAGAACACUAACGUAUAAUGACCCGACAAACGAUCAACGAACUAAGUUACCCUGGGGAUAACAGCGCAAUCUACUUCUAGAGCCCCUAUCAACAAGUAGGCUUACGACCUCGAUGUUGGAUCAGGGUAUCCCUGUGGUGCAGCCGCUACUAAUGGUUC
Molecule: ribosomal RNA, 803 nt
Filed under: Philautus ingeri (Inger's bubble-nest frog)
Lineage: Eukaryota; Metazoa; Chordata; Amphibia; Anura; Rhacophoridae
Description: partial 16S ribosomal RNA
Rfam family: Bacterial large subunit ribosomal RNA
Source: RNAcentral